CUCCUCCUCCUUCCUCCCGCCAUCUUCGUCUGUCAGCUGAUCCGAGGUGGACGGCGUUCCGCGUGUCGGCCAAUAUCCUUGUAAUCCAGGACGACACAGACGGCCAUGGAUGGAAGCAAGAUGCUGGACUUUGUGGACCCUGGCGGCCAUGGGGAGGUGUCCGUGGGCGCUGGGCAAGGCCGAGGGCGAGGAGUACAGCACACUGGAUGAGGGGGACCAUGGAUGGUGCAGGGCUCUCAGGAGAUGGACAAGCAGGAACAGGGGACCAUAACUCACAGGUGUUCUUCAUUGAGUGUGUGAGCGCCGCUGUCGUCACCAUGAACACCUGCUCGGAGGCACCAAGGCUAUCAAAACCCCGAGCUGCGUCAAUCACAGGUCAGCCUCUUCCCUCCCCUCGGCUAAUCUCUACGAACAUGCACAACGAUGUCUCGGCUCCUCAUGUUCGCUACACCCUCAUGGUCAUGCAAUGGGGGCAGCUUAUCGACCAUGACAUCAUCUUCACGCCCAUCAACAAAGGGUUCCAGGACUCCAUUCUUGACUGCCGGCGCUGCGACUCACCCCAGACGGUUCACCCCGAGUGCUUCCCUAUCGGCAUUCCCUCCAAUGACCCGUUCUUUCCAUCAGUCAAUAUCUCCUCUGGGCAGCCUUUCUGUAUCCCUCUGACGCGCUCCAUGCCGGGGCAGCUGACUCUAGGUUACUGAGAGCAGAUGAACCAGGUCACUGCAUUUGUGGAUGCCUCACACACCUAUGGCUCAGACAAGUGUGAACAGAGACAG
This is a long non-coding RNA of Eriocheir sinensis (Chinese mitten crab), 776 nucleotides long. RefSeq lists it as uncharacterized. The record is from RefSeq and is a predicted model, not a curated record. NCBI's taxonomy places the organism in Eukaryota, Metazoa, Arthropoda, Malacostraca, Decapoda, Varunidae. The transcript is spliced from 6 exons.